RNAcentral lists this ribosomal RNA (496 nucleotides) under uncultured bacterium. Its description in RNAcentral is "partial 16S ribosomal RNA". It matches the Rfam family "Bacterial small subunit ribosomal RNA", at positions 29 to 507 of the family's 1533-position model. The record is from RNAcentral.
AUGAACGCUGGCGGCGUGCCUAAUACAUGCAAGUCGAGCGCACAGAUGAGGAGCUUGCUCCUCUGACGUUAGCGGCGGACGGGUGAGUAACACGUGGAUAACCUACCUAUAAGACUGGGAUAACUUCGGGAAACCGGAGCUAAUACCGGAUAAUAUAUUGAACCGCAUGGUUCAAUAGUGAAAGACGGUUUUGCUGUCACUUAUAGAUGGAUCCGCGCCGCAUUAGCUAGUUGGUAAGGUAACGGCUUACCAAGGCAACGAUGCGUAGCCGACCUGAGAGGGUGAUCGGCCACACUGGAACUGAGACACGGUCCAGACUCCUACGGGAGGCAGCAGUAGGGAAUCUUCCGCAAUGGGCGAAGGCCUGACGGAGCAACGCCGCGUGAGUGAUGAAGGUCUUCGGAUCGUAAAACUCUGUUAUUAGGGAAGAACAAAUGUGUAAGUAACUAUGCACGUCUUGACGGUACCUAAUCAGAAAGCCACGGCUAACUACGUG